This 253-nucleotide ribosomal RNA is filed under the name uncultured bacterium. Its description in RNAcentral is "partial 16S ribosomal RNA". It matches the Rfam family "Bacterial small subunit ribosomal RNA", at positions 524 to 776 of the family's 1533-position model. The record is from RNAcentral.
UACAGAGGGUGCAAGCGUUGUUCGGAAUUAUUGGGCGUAAAGGGAGUGUAGGCGGUUUGCUAAGUCUUCUGUGAAAUCUACGGGCUCAGCCUGUAACGUGCAGAGGAAACUGACAGACUUGAGUGUCGGAGAGGAUAGUGGAAUUCCCGGUGUAGAGGUGAAAUUCGUAGAGAUCGGGAGGAACACCAGUGGCGAAGGCGACUAUCUGGCUGACAACUGACGCUGAGACUCGAAAGCAUGGGGAGCAAACAGG